This 254-nucleotide ribosomal RNA is filed under the name uncultured bacterium. RNAcentral describes it as "partial 16S ribosomal RNA". It matches the Rfam family "Bacterial small subunit ribosomal RNA", at positions 524 to 776 of the family's 1533-position model. The record is from RNAcentral.
UACGUAGGGGGGCUCGCGUUGUCCGGAUUUAUUGGGCGUAAAGAGCGUGUAGGCGGCCAGAUAGGUCUGGUGUGAAAACUCGAGGCUUAACCUCGAGAUGUCAUCGGAAACCAUCUGGCUAGAGUCCGGAAGAGGAGAGUGGAAUUCCUGGUGUAGCGGUGAAAUGCGCAGAUAUCAGGAAGCACACCAAUGGCGAAAGCAGCUCUCUGGGACGGUACUGACGCUGAGACGCGAAAGCGUGGGGAGCGAACAGG